GAUGAAGAACGUAGCGAAAUGCGAUAAGUAAUGUGAAUUGCAGAAUUCAGUGAAUCAUCGAAUCUUUGAACGCACAUUGCGCCCCUUGGUAUUCCGAGGGGCAUGCCUGUUCGAGCGUCAUUAUAACCCCUCAAGCUCAGCUUGGUGUUGGGGCCUGCUGCACUGGCAGCCCUUAAAAUCAGUGGCGGCGCCAUCUGGCUCUAAGCGUAGUAAUUCUUCUCGCUAUGGAGACCUGGUGGAUGCUUGCCAUCAACCCCCAAUUUUUCUAUGGUUGACCUCGGAUCAGGUAGGGAUACCCGCUGAACUUAAGCAUAUCAAUAAGCGGAGGA
RNAcentral lists this unclassified non-coding RNA (329 nucleotides) under soil metagenome. RNAcentral's name for it is "partial contains 5.8S ribosomal RNA, internal transcribed spacer 2, and large subunit ribosomal RNA". The stretch from base 1 to 120 matches the Rfam family "5.8S ribosomal RNA", at positions 35 to 154 of the family's 154-position model. The record is from RNAcentral.